AUUGAACGCUGGCGGCAGGCCUAACACAUGCCAGUCGAACGGUAACAGGAAGCAGCUUGCUGCUUUGCUGACGAGUGGCGGACGGGUGAGUAAUGUCUGGGAAACUGCCUGAUGGAGGGGGAUAACUACUGGAAACGGUAGCUAAUACCGCAUAACGUCGCAAGACCAAAGAGGGGGACCUUAGGGCCUCUUGCCAUCGGAUGUGCCCAGAUGGGAUUAGCUAGUAGGUGGGGUAACGGCUCACCUAGGCGACGAUCCCUAGCUGGUCUGAGAGGAUGACCAGCCACACGGGAACUGAGACACGGUCCAGACUCCUACGGGAGGCAGCAGUGGGGAAUAUUGCACAAUGGGCGCAAGCCUGAUGCAGCCAUGCCGCGUGUAUGAAGAAGGCCUUCGGGUUGUAAAGUACUUUCAGCGGGGAGGAAGGGAGUAAAGUUAAUACCUUUGCUCAUUGACGUUACCCGCAGAAGAAGCACCGGCUAACUCCGUG
This 490-nucleotide ribosomal RNA is filed under the name uncultured bacterium. Its description in RNAcentral is "partial 16S ribosomal RNA". It matches the Rfam family "Bacterial small subunit ribosomal RNA", at positions 30 to 507 of the family's 1533-position model. The record is from RNAcentral.